Lates calcarifer (barramundi perch) is the source of this 1551-nucleotide long non-coding RNA. RefSeq lists it as uncharacterized. Lineage: Eukaryota; Metazoa; Chordata; Actinopteri; Centropomidae. The transcript is spliced from 4 exons. The record is from RefSeq and is a predicted model, not a curated record.
GACGUGAUUGGUCAGGUGUUCUCAGGUGUGUAGGUGGGCGGGGAUUCAGUGUUGAGUGAAUCUCGUAGCCCUAAUCCAAACCUGAUCACUGAAUGGUCGUGAGGCAACGAGAGGAAAAUGUUGCAGACACGUCGGUGUUGAUCGAUUAUUUCAGAUUUGGAUCAUUAACGAGUGGAUAAAGAUCCACAGGAUUAAAGUCAUGAUGGAUGUGUCAGUCAGUUUCAUGGACUUGCUGCUGAGCCGCGAGGAGACGCAGCUAACAUCACGGACCACAGGUUUACUGGUUCAGUUGCAGCAACCUGGACAGAAACACCAGCUCUCACCUUACAAACAAAAUAAGUGUCACCACUUUGUCCAUGACCACAGAGUCUUUGUACAAUGAAGAAGUUCUUUGAGACCAGGACAGAGGCCUCCAGGUCUUCACCUGCUGUCAUCUUCUCCUGUAGGGACAAGAACAUGUGUUAAUAACAUAAACUGAUAAACUGAUAAACCUAUUUUUCCUUUCCUAAACUGUGCUUAUUAUUUUACUAAAAUGUUGUUAUUUAAUAAGUUAUUUAGCUAGUUAUUUUACUAAUAAACUAUAACAUUUUUGACGCCUUAUUAUGCUAUGACAUUUUUUGACCAUUUUUGACACCUUCCUAUGACUUUUUUUUUUUUUUUUUUACAUAUUUGAUGUCUUACUGUACAAUAACAUUUUUUGAUGCCUUGCUAUAUUAUAACAUUUUUGAUGCCUUACUAUACUAUGAAAUUUUGUGAUUUUUAGACACCAUACACAUUUUUUGGUGGUUUUUGACACCUUACUAAAAUAUGACGUUUAAAAAAAAAAAUUAUUAAUGCCUUAUUAUGCUAUGACAUUUUUUUGACCAUUUUUGAUGCCAUACUAUACCAUGACAUUUUUUGGUGAUUUUUCACACCAUACUAUACUAUGACAUUUCUUGACCAUUUUUGAUGCCAUACUAUACUGUGACAUUUAAAAAAAAAAAAUUAAUACCUUAUUAUGCUAUGACAUUUUUUGACCAUUUUUGAUGCUAUACGAUAAUAUGACAUUUUUUGACCAUAUUUGAUGCCAUACUAUACUGACAUUUUUUGACAUUUUUUUUUUUACCAUUUUUGACACCAUACUAUACUAUGACAUUUUUUGACCAUUUUUGACACCAUACUAUACUGACAUUUUUUGACCAUUUUUGACACCAUACUAUACUAUGACAUUUUUUGACCAUUUUUGAUGCCAUACUAUACUAUGACAUUUUUUGGUGAUUUUUGACGCCAUACUAUACUAUGACAUUUGUUGACAUUUGACAUGUUGAUAUUUUUUGAUGGUUUUUGACAUCAGUACUCAAAUCCAAUCUGUUAUUGCAUAUGUAGUCUUGUUUAUACUGCUCAUAUUGUUUGUAAUUUUUUUAUAUUGCUAUAUAUUAUUUUAUUUUUUAUCUUGUCUUCUUUAUAUCAUGCCUUCCUCUGUUUUUGCUGCUGGAAUUUAAAAUUUCUCUGCUGUGUGACUAAUAAAGGAUUAUCUUGCUAUUACCCAAAUAAAUACUUCUGAACACUUUA